Molecule: ribosomal RNA, 497 nt
Filed under: uncultured bacterium
Lineage: Bacteria
Description: partial 16S ribosomal RNA
Rfam family: Bacterial small subunit ribosomal RNA
Source: RNAcentral
GAUGAACGCUGGCGGCGUGCCUAAUACAUGCAAGUCGAGCGAACGGACGAGAAGCUUGCUUCUCUGAUGUUAGCGGCGGACGGGUGAGUAACACGUGGAUAACCUACCUAUAAGACUGGGAUAACUUCGGGAAACCGGAGCUAAUACCGGAUAAUAUUUUGAACCGCAUGGUUAAAAAGUGAAAGACGGUCUUGCUGUAACUUAUAGAUGGAUCCGCGCUGCAUUAGCUAGUUGGUAAGGUAACUGCUUACCAAGGCAACGAUGCAUAGCCGACCUGAGAGGGUGAUCGGCCGCACUGGAACUGAGACACGGUCCGGACGCCUACGGAAGGCAGAAGUAGGGAAUCUUCCGCAAUAGGCGAAAGCCUGAUGGGGCAACGCCGGGUGAGUUAUAAAGGGCUACGCAACGUGAGAUUGUUUUAUUAGAGAAGAAGAUUUGUGUAAGUAAUUGUGCACAUCAUGACGGUACCUAAUCAGAGAUGCACGGCUAACAACAUG